RNAcentral lists this ribosomal RNA (1384 nucleotides) under metagenome. RNAcentral describes it as "bacterial LSU rRNA". It matches the Rfam family "Bacterial large subunit ribosomal RNA", at positions 1302 to 2685 of the family's 2925-position model. The record is from RNAcentral.
UUGAGUAGCGUUAAAGGGGGUGAAAAGCCCCCUCGCCGUAAGCGCAAGGUUUUCUACGCAACGUUCAUCGGCGUAGAGUGAGUCGGCCCCUAAGGCGAGGCAGAGAUGCGUAGCUGAUGGGAAACAGGUCAAUAUUCCUGUACCGAUGUGUAGUGCGAUGUGGGGACGGAGAAGGUUAGCUCAGCCAACUGUUGGAUAUGUUGGUUCAAGCCUGUAGUCGUGCCCGGUAGGCAAAUCCGCCGGGCUUAGAUGAGGGGUGAUAACGAGGCUGCUUGCAGCCGAAGUGAGUGAUACCCUGCUUCCAGGAAAAGCCACUAAGCUUCGGCUACACACGACCGUACCGCAAACCGACACUGGUGCGCGAGAUGAGUAUUCUAAGGCGCUUGAGAGAACUCAGGAGAAGGAACUCGGCAAAUUGAUACCGUAACUUCGGGAGAAGGUAUGCCCCAAGUAGGUGAACCUGUACAAGGCGAGCCCAAAGGGGUUGCAAAAAAUCGGUGGCUGCGACUGUUUAAUAAAAACACAGCACUCUGCAAACACGAAAGUGGACGUAUAGGGUGUGACGCCUGCCCGGUGCUGGAAGAUUAAAUGAUGGGGUGCAAGCUCUUGACUGAAGUCCCAGUAAACGGCGGCCGUAACGAUAACGGUCCUAAGGUAGCGAAAUUCCUUGUCGGGUAAGUUCCGACCUGCACGAAUGGCGUAACGAUGGCCACACUGUCUCCUCCUGAGACUCAGCGAAGUUGAAAUGUUUGUGAUGAUGCAAUCUCCCCGCGGAAAGACGGAAAGACCCCAUGAACCUUUACUGUAGCUUUGUAUUGGACUUUGAACAGAUCUGUGUAGGAUAGGUGGGAGGCUUUGAAGUGAGGUCGCUAGAUCUCAUGGAGCCAACGUUGAAAUACCACCCUGGUGUGUUUGAGGUUCUAACCUAGGUCCAUUAUCUGGAUCGGGGACAGUGCAUGGUAGGCAGUUUGACUGGGGCGGUCUCCUCCCAAAGCGUAACGGAGGAGUUCGAAGGUACGCUAGUUACGGUCGGACAUCGUGACGAUAGUGCAAUGGCAUAAGCGUGCUUAACUGCGAGACUGACAAGUCGAGCAGAUGCGAAAGCAGGACAUAGUGAUCCGGUGGUUCUGUAUGGAAGGGCCAUCGCUCAACGGAUAAAAGGUACUCUGGGGAUAACAGGCUGAUACCGCCCAAGAGUUCAUAUCGACGGCGGUGUUUGGCACCUCGAUGUCGGCUCAUCUCAUCCUGGGGCUGUAGCCGGUCCCAAGGGUAUGGCUGUUCGCCAUUUGAAGAGGUACGUGAGCUGGGUUUAAAACGUCGUGAGACAGUUUGGUCCCUAUCUUCCGUGGGCGCUGCAGAUUUGAGGAAGCCUGCUCCUAGUAUG